GUGAGGAAUAUUGGACAAUGGGCGCAAGCCUGAUCCAGCCAUGCCGCGUGCAGGAAGACGCAUCUAUGGUGUGUAAACUGCUUUUGUACGGGAAGAAACACUCCCUCGUGAGGGAGCUUGACGGUACCGUAAGAAUAAGGAUCGGCUAACUCCGUGCCAGCAGCCGCGGUAAUACGGAGGAUCCAAGCGUUAUCCGGCAUCAUUGGGUUUAAAGGGUCCGUAGGCGGUUUAAUAAGUCAGUGGUGAAAGCCCAUCGCUCAACGAUGGAACGGCCAUUGAUACUGUUAGACUUGAAUUACAAGGAAGUAACUAGAAUAUGUAGUGUAGCGGUGAAAUGCUUAGAUAUUACAGGGAAUACCAAUUGCGAAGGCAGGUUACUACUUGUGGAUUGACGCUGAUGGACGAAAGCGUGGGGAGCGAACAGGAUUAGAUACCCUGGUAGUCC
This 445-nucleotide ribosomal RNA is filed under the name uncultured bacterium. Its description in RNAcentral is "partial 16S ribosomal RNA". It matches the Rfam family "Bacterial small subunit ribosomal RNA", at positions 354 to 796 of the family's 1533-position model. The record is from RNAcentral.